This 76-nucleotide transfer RNA is filed under the name Klebsiella phage KP13-26. RNAcentral describes it as "tRNA-Met". The record is from RNAcentral. Lineage: Duplodnaviria; Heunggongvirae; Uroviricota; Caudoviricetes.
AGUAACUGUGAAGCUGAUGUUUCGAACGCUUUCAUACGGCGUUGUGAGAAGAGUUUGAUUCUCUUAGUUACUACCA